AAUCCGUGGUGCGAGUAUUUUUGAAUCAAUAUUUUCAAAUGUUCUCAUGCCUUAUGGAAACUUUCUCCUUCCAUUUGUCUAAAAACAGCAAUCUCUUUUCUUAAUU
Small nucleolar RNA from Gossypium raimondii (Peruvian cotton), 106 nucleotides. It matches the Rfam family "Plant small nucleolar RNA R71". Rfam says of the family: R71 is a member of the C/D box family of snoRNAs containing the C (UGAUGA) and D (CUGA) box motifs. Multiple nearly identical copies of this snoRNA have been identified in Arabidopsis, and it is thought to function as a 2'-O-ribose methylation guide for 18S ribosomal RNA. Lineage: Eukaryota; Viridiplantae; Streptophyta; Magnoliopsida; Malvales; Malvaceae. The record is from Rfam.